Molecule: ribosomal RNA, 421 nt
Filed under: uncultured bacterium
Lineage: Bacteria
Description: bacterial SSU rRNA
Rfam family: Bacterial small subunit ribosomal RNA
Source: RNAcentral
AACGAACGCUGGCGGCAUGCCUAACACAUGCAAGUCGAACGAGACCUUCGGGUCUAGUGGCGCACGGGUGCGUAACACGUGGGAAUUUGCCUCGGGGUAUGGAAUAACUCAGGGAAACUUGAGCUAAUACCAUAUAAUGUCUUCGGACCAAAGAUUUAUCGCCCUGAGAUAAGCCCGCGUAGGAUUAGCUAGUUGGUGAGGUAAAGGCUCACCAAGGCGACGAUCCUUAGCUGGUCUGAGAGGAUGAUCAGCCACACUGGGACUGAGACACGGCCCAGACUCCUACGGGAGGCAGCAGUGGGGAAGUAUUGGGACAAAUAGGGGCGGAAAAGGACCUGAACCAGCCACUGCCGCGUGCAGGAAGACGGUCCGUAUGGAGUUGUAAACUAGCUUUAUUACAGGAAGAACCCUACCCACGUGU